This 558-nucleotide ribosomal RNA is filed under the name uncultured bacterium. RNAcentral's name for it is "bacterial SSU rRNA". It matches the Rfam family "Bacterial small subunit ribosomal RNA", at positions 336 to 909 of the family's 1533-position model. The record is from RNAcentral.
UUCCUACGGGAGGCAGCAGUGGGGAAUUUUCCGCAAUGGGCGAAGCCUGACGGAGCAACGCCGCGUGAGGGAUGAAGGCCUCUGGGCUGUAAACCUCUUUUAUCAUGGAAGAAGAUCUGACGGUGCUUGAUGAAUAAGCCACGGCUAAUUCCGUGCCAGCAGCCGCGGUAAUACGGGAGUGGCAAGCGUUAUCCGGAAUUAUUGGGCGUAAAGCGUCCGCAGGCGGCCCUUCAAGUCUGCUGUUAAAAAGUGGAGCUAAACUCCAUCAUGGCAGUGGAAACUGUUGGGCUUGAGUGUGGUAGGGGCAGAGGGAAUUCCCGGUGUAGCGGUGAAAUGCGUAGAUAUCGGGAAGAACACCAGUGGCGAAGGCACUCUGCUGGGCCAUCACUGACGCUCAUGGACGAAAGCCAGGGGAGCGAAAGGGAUUAGAUACCCCUGUAGUCCUGGCCGUAAACGAUGAACACUAGGUGUCGGGGGAAUCGACCCCCUCGGUGUCGUAGCCAACGCGUUAAGUGUUCCGCCUGGGGAGUACGCACGCAAGUGUGAAACUCAAAGGAA